UUCAAUAAUUACACAACUACCUAACCACAACAUCUAUUGACGUCAAAUAAAUGUAGUAAUCUUAAACAUGAUAAUUAAUACACCAAUAUUUUGAUAACAAAUGCAUAUCUAACAACAUAUAACAUGAUAUUAAUGAAAAUAGGUUAAGCUAAUACAUAAAUUCCAACAUAAACUUAUUUAGUUCAUCAUUCUAACAAAAUAACAAAGAGAUUCUCAUAAACAUAUCAUUACAAACAUGAAGAACUAAAUGAAAGGAAUACAAAAGUUGAGAUAAAACCCUUUUAAAUACGAAUUGUAAUUCCUUCAAUGUAUUCUUCAAGCUUUCCUUAAUGAUCUCCUUGCUAUAUCCACUUGAUUCCCAAAAUAAAACUAAAAUUAACAAAAGAAAAUAAAACUAAAAGAAAAAAUCAAGAAAAAGAUAGAGAGAGACCAAGAGAGAUAGAGAGAAAAGUGAAAGAGUUGGGGAAUUUUUUUUACCUACCAAGUUAUAUUAGUAUAUAUAUG
Molecule: long non-coding RNA, 504 nt
Filed under: Olea europaea (common olive)
Lineage: Eukaryota; Viridiplantae; Streptophyta; Magnoliopsida; Lamiales; Oleaceae
Description: long non-coding RNA (OEUR_LNC004654)
Source: RNAcentral